This 253-nucleotide ribosomal RNA is filed under the name uncultured bacterium. RNAcentral describes it as "partial 16S ribosomal RNA". It matches the Rfam family "Bacterial small subunit ribosomal RNA", at positions 524 to 776 of the family's 1533-position model. The record is from RNAcentral.
UACAGAGGUCUCAAGCGUUGUUCGGAUUCAUUGGGCGUAAAGGGUGCGUAGGUGGCGCGGUAAGUCGGGUGUGAAAUCUCGGAGCUUAACUCCGAAAAUGCAUUCGAUACUGCCGUGCUUGAGGACUGGAGAGGAGACUGGAAUUCAUGGUGUAGCAGUGAAAUGCGUAGAGAUCAGGAGGAAGACCAGUGGCGAAGGCGGGUCUCUGGACAGUUCCUGACGCUGAGGCACGAAGGCCAGGGGAGCAAACGGG